CCUACGGGAGGCAGCAGUGAGGAAUAUUGGUCAAUGGGCGUAAGCCUGAACCAGCCAAGUCGCGUGAGGGAUGAAGGUUCUAUGGAUUGUAAACCUCUUUUAUAAGGGAAUAAAGUGAGGGACGUGUCCCGUUUUGUAUGUACUUUAUGACUAAGGAUCGGCUAACUCCGUGCCAGCAGCCGCGGUAAUACGGAGGAUCCGAGCGUUAUCCGGAUUUAUUGGGUUUAAAGGGAGCGUAGACGGGCUUUUAAGUCAGUGGUGAAAGUUUGCGGCUCAACCAUAGAAUUGCCGUUGAUACUGGGAGGCUUGAGUAUGGUUGAGGCAGGCGGAAUGCGUGGUGUAGCGGUGAAAUGCUUAGAUAUCACGCAGAACCCCGAUUGCGAAGGCAGCCUGCCAAGCCAUGACUGACGCUGAUGCACGAAAGCGUGGGGAUCAAACAGGAUUAGAUACCCCUGUAGUC
This 460-nucleotide ribosomal RNA is filed under the name uncultured bacterium. RNAcentral's name for it is "partial 16S ribosomal RNA". It matches the Rfam family "Bacterial small subunit ribosomal RNA", at positions 338 to 795 of the family's 1533-position model. The record is from RNAcentral.